AAACCAGCGCCCUGUCUCUCAGUAACGUGGCAGGGGUCUUCUAUAUCCUGGUUGGAGGUCUGGGUCUGGCCAUGAUGGUGGCUCUGGUAGAGUUCUGCUACAAGAGCCGUGCUGAGGCCAAAAAAAUGAAGGUGGCAGCCAACACAUUGUCCUCCCCCCAGCACACAGGAAACUACACACACACUUUGUCUUCUCCUCAACAUGCCCCCAACUUCAACCUGCUGUCCCCCAGCCACCAGCCAAACUACGCCACCUAUAAAGAGGGCUACAACGUUUACGGCAUUGAGAGUGUCAAGAUCUAACACGGAUGAAAUUCACAGAUGCGAUGCGCUCCAAAGCUCGUCUAUCCAUCACAGGAUCGACCGGUGAGAAUGGCCGUGUCCCGGUGGCUUACCUCCGUCCAGGAUUACCCAUGAGCCUCAGCAUGACUGACCUGUCCUGACCUGACCCAUGCCAGUGCCUUACAGCCGCACCACACAUCCUCCUGCCCUCUGACAGUGAGUGGAAAUGCUUGUCAUCUCCGUUGGUGACCAAUUACCACUGAUCUACACUGAUUUUCAAUCUGGAGUUUCCCAAUCAUAUCACGCUGAGGACUCCUGAUCUUACUAUUUAUUUUUUCGCCUACAAAGACUGGACACAAGUUGUCCCCCCACCACUGGCUGUCAGGUUUUAGAAAAGACCUGCCAACCUACAAAGUGAAUCACUGAACCAUCAGCAAAAAGAUGGCUGGUCAUUUAUAAUUCAUAAAAAAACUAUUAAGCACAGUGGACAGUUUUUUAAACAAACACAUCAUUGUUUCGUAGAUUUUUGCCAUGGAGGACAACAGUGAUGCUGACGUUAAUGCAAUAACAAGAUUAAUCAGGGAUGUGAUCAGGAAUUGUGUGUAUAAAAAAAGAGUCUUGGUUAAAGUGCUUUGAACAAAGACGGAUGUCCUGAAAAAAUCACAUCCAUGAAAUAAUAGUAAAUGUAAUAACAGAUUAUGAUAAUGGUGUUAUUGUUCUUAAUUGUUUUUCUUAAUUCUGCCUGAAAAUUCCUAAUUAGUAGUCUUUUACCAAACCCAAGGGAUGCAUGGACUGAUAAACACACACACACACACACACACACACACA
Long non-coding RNA from Notothenia coriiceps (black rockcod), 1109 nucleotides. RefSeq lists it as uncharacterized. The transcript has 3 exons. The record is from RefSeq and is a predicted model, not a curated record. Lineage: Eukaryota; Metazoa; Chordata; Actinopteri; Perciformes; Nototheniidae.